GAUGAACGCUAGCGACAGGCUUAACACAUGCAAGUCGAGGGGCAGCGAGGGCGUAGCAAUACGCCUGUCGGCGACCGGCGCACUGGUGAGUAACACGUAUGCGACCUGCCCCCUACAGGGGUUAUAACCCGUAGAAAUGCGGACUAAAUCCCCCAUAGUCCUGGGUGCUGCAUGGCAUUCAGGGAAAGGUUUCCGGUAGGGGAUGGGCAUGCGGCGCAUUAGCUAGUUGGCGGGGCAAACGGCCCACCAAAGGCGACGAUGCGUAGGGGUUCUGAGAGGAAGGUCCCCCANACUGGUACUGGAGACACGGG
RNAcentral lists this ribosomal RNA (311 nucleotides) under uncultured bacterium. Its description in RNAcentral is "bacterial SSU rRNA". It matches the Rfam family "Bacterial small subunit ribosomal RNA", at positions 28 to 330 of the family's 1533-position model. The record is from RNAcentral.